Molecule: ribosomal RNA, 441 nt
Filed under: uncultured bacterium
Lineage: Bacteria
Description: bacterial SSU rRNA
Rfam family: Bacterial small subunit ribosomal RNA
Source: RNAcentral
GUGGGGAAUCUUGCGCAAUGGCCGAAAGGCUGACGCAGCGACGCCGCGUGGAGGAUGACGCCCUUCGGGGUGUAAACUCCUGUUGCCCGGGACGAAUGCCUGGUUUGCCAGGAGUGACGGUACCGGGUGAGGAAGCACCGGCUAACUCUGUGCCAGCAGCCGCGGUAAUACAGAGGGUGCGAGCGUUGUCCGGAAUCACUGGGCGUAAAGGGCGCGUAGGCGGUCGGGUAAGCGUGUGGUGAAAGUCCGGGGCUCAACCCCGGAUCGGCCAUGCGAACUGUCCGACUGGAGCACGGUAGAGGCACAUGGAAUUCCGGGUGUAGCGGUGGAAUGCGUAGAGAUCCGGAAGAACACCGGUGGCGAAGGCGGUGUGCUGGGCCGUAGCUGACGCUGAGGCGCGACAGCGUGGGGAGCAAACAGGAUUAGAAACCCCAGUAGUCC